Molecule: ribosomal RNA, 468 nt
Filed under: uncultured bacterium
Lineage: Bacteria
Description: partial 16S ribosomal RNA
Rfam family: Bacterial small subunit ribosomal RNA
Source: RNAcentral
GACGAACGCUGGCGGCGUGCUUAACACAUGCAAGUCGAACGGAAAGGCCCUGCUUUUGUGGGGUGCUCGAGUGGCGAACGGGUGAGUAACACGUGAGUAACCUGCUCUUGACUUUGGGAUAACUUCAGGAAAGUGGGGUUAAUCCCGUAUAGGAGCUCCUGCUGCAUGGAGGGGGUUGGAAAUUUUCGGCGGUUGGGGAUGGACUCGCGGCUUAUCAGCUUGUUGGUGGGGUAGUGGCUUACCAAGGCUUGGACGGGUCGCCGGCCUGAGAGGGUGACCGGCCACAUUGGGACUGAGAUACGGACCAGACUCCUACGGGAGACAGCAGUGGGGAAUAUUGCACAAUGGGCGGAAGCGUGAUGCAGCAACGCCGCGUGCGGGAUGACGGCCUUCGGGUUGUAAACCGCUUUCGCCUGUGACGAAGCGUGAGUGACGGUAAUGGGUAAAGAAGCACCGGCUAACUACGUG